GAUGAACGCUGGCGGCGUGCCUAAUACAUGCAAGUCGAGCGAACAGACGAGGAUCUUGCUCCUCUGACGUUAGCGGCGGACGGGUGAGUAACACGUGGAUAACCUACCUAUAAGACUGGGAUAACUUCGGGAAACCGGAGCUAAUACCGGAUAAUAUAUUGAACCGCAUGGUUCAAUAGUGAAAGACGGUUUUGCUGUCACUUAUAGAUGGAUCCGCGCCGCAUUAGCUAGUUGGUAAGGUAACGGCUUACCAAGGCAACGAUGCGUAGCCGACCUGAGAGGGGGAUAGGCCACACUGGAACGGAGCCACGGUCAAGCUUCCUACGGGAGGCAGCAGAAGGGAACGUUCGGCAAUGGGGGAAAGUAUGACGGAGCAAGGCGGAGUGAGUGAUGAAGGUCUUGGGAUCGUAAAGCCGUGUUAUUGGGGAAAAACAGAUGUGUAAGUAAAUAUGCCGGUCUUGACGGUACCUAAUAAAAAAGCACCGGCUAACUACGUG
This 497-nucleotide ribosomal RNA is filed under the name uncultured bacterium. Its description in RNAcentral is "partial 16S ribosomal RNA". It matches the Rfam family "Bacterial small subunit ribosomal RNA", at positions 28 to 507 of the family's 1533-position model. The record is from RNAcentral.